GGGGCCGAUUAGGAUUCGACGUUGAUUAGAAAAUGGAUCAUGGCAUGUCGAGCACCAGUUAGCUCGCUAAUCCACUGGAAAAAAUAUAAACGCCAAUAAUUCGCGUUUCAAGUUAGCAGCUUAAAGCUCUAACCGCUGCACUGGGUUUUUUUCUUGGAUCAGAUGAUUCUUUCGAGUCAUAGCAGUGUCAUAUACAAGAAAUAUAUUUGUAAUAUUUUCACGAUAUGCAAACUGA
Molecule: transfer-messenger RNA, 235 nt
Filed under: Strigomonas culicis
Lineage: Eukaryota; Euglenozoa; Kinetoplastea; Trypanosomatida; Trypanosomatidae
Rfam family: transfer-messenger RNA
About the family: Bacterial tmRNA, also known as 10Sa RNA or SsrA, is named for its dual tRNA and mRNA-like properties. Its role is to liberate the mRNA from a stalled ribosome.
Source: Rfam by way of RNAcentral